CUGUCAAAUCCAUUACAGGAACAGUUUGCAGAGGUACAGCACCCGAUGAUCGAUUUCACGGAGGAUGGAUUUACGUCACUGGUGGACAAACGCACUGCAAUUUUGAGUUUGAUUCCAGUGAACACUCUGUUCGGGACUACCAGGUUCUUGUGGAUCCAUGUGCUGGUAGUGGAGUGGAAUGGGUCACAGGUGUUCCAAACAGCAAAUCAGUUAGGAUUGGAACCUCAGCACGUUUCCCAGAUGUAAUGAUGUAUCUGUGCAGCGAUCACAAUGGAAUUACAGGAAAACUGUUUCUUACUUGAAAUGGCUGGCGGUGUCAUAUAGGAUUUGGAAACCAGGCUUGGCUUAACGAUGUCUUCACCAUACUACAACAAAAGCCAUGCAUUGAAUAUAGUGAAAGAAGAAUGAAACAUCAUAUGGACUUCAGUCAGAAGAGGGGAAGUCAGUGAAAAAUACUUUGUGACAAUUAGAAUGCUUGCAAAUAUGCAAAAUAUUAAUGACAUGGGUACUACAUCCAGUGUUCCAGAAUCAAUAAACGACACAUUAUUUGUGGUUUUCACUUCAAA
Esox lucius (northern pike) is the source of this 566-nucleotide long non-coding RNA. RefSeq lists it as uncharacterized. NCBI's taxonomy places the organism in Eukaryota, Metazoa, Chordata, Actinopteri, Esociformes, Esocidae. The record is from RefSeq and is a predicted model, not a curated record. The transcript has 4 exons.